Molecule: ribosomal RNA, 450 nt
Filed under: uncultured bacterium
Lineage: Bacteria
Description: partial 16S ribosomal RNA
Rfam family: Bacterial small subunit ribosomal RNA
Source: RNAcentral
GUGGGGAAUUUUGGACAAUGGGCGCAAGCCUGAUCCAGCAAUGCCGCGUGCAGGAAGAAGGCCUUCGGGUUGUAAACUGCUUUUGUACGGAACGAAAAGGCUCUGGCUAAUACCUGGAGCUCAUGACGGUACCGUAAGAAUAAGCACCGGCUAACUACGUGCCAGCAGCCGCGGUAAUACGUAGGGUGCGAGCGUUAAUCGGAAUUACUGGGCGUAAAGCGUGCGCAGGCGGUGCUGUAAGACAGGCGUGAAAUCCCCGGGCUCAACCUGGGAAUUGUGCUUGUGACUGCAGCGCUGGAGUGCGGCAGAGGGGGAUGGAAUUCCGCGUGUAGCAGUGAAAUGCGUAGAUAUGCGGAGGAACACCGAUGGCGAAGGCAAUCCCCUGGGCCUGCACUGACGCUCAUGCACGAAAGCGUGGGGAGCAAACAGGAUUAGAUACCCUGGUAGUCC